This 467-nucleotide ribosomal RNA is filed under the name uncultured archaeon. RNAcentral's name for it is "partial 16S ribosomal RNA". The record is from RNAcentral.
UUGAGCCGGUGGAUUUCCCAAGAGACUUAACAAUCAAGCUACGGACGCUUUAAGCCCAGUAAUAGUGGCCACCACUCGAGCCGCCGGUAUUACCGCGGCGGCUGGCACCGGUCUUGCCCGGCCCUUUCUUCACCAGCUAUUUGCACUGGCGGACAGCCCGAAUUUACGGGCACUCGGGGUUCCCUUAUCACGAUUUCUCGCAUUGUAAAGUUUUCGCGCCUGCUGCGCCCCGUAGGGCCUGGAUUCGUGUCUCAGAAUCCAUCUCCGGGCUCUUGCUCUCACAACCCGUACCGAUCAAAGGCUUGUUGGGCCGUUACCCCAACAACAACCUAAUCGGCCGCAGACCCAUCCUCAGGCGGCGGACCUUUGAACCAGGAGGCAUUCCAGCAUCCCUGGUCUAUGGGGUAUUAUCCCCAGUUUCCCGGGGUUAUCCCCCUCCUGAGGGUAGGUUGUCCACGUGUUACUGA